Non-coding RNA from Danionella cerebrum, 71 nucleotides. Lineage: Eukaryota; Metazoa; Chordata; Actinopteri; Cypriniformes; Danionidae. The record is from the annotation of a GenBank genome assembly.
GUAGGAUAGUACAGUGGUAAUGCUGCCGUCCUUCACAUGGGAGACCAAGGUUCGAAUCCUACGAUAUGACA